GGCCUCUUGAAGAAACACUGAAUCAAUUGAGUCCAUCUCCUCAGUGAGCUUAAUAAUCGUUUCUGCAUCAUCAGCCUGUGUCUUGAAGUCACGGAGAAGCUUUAAUUUGUCUUUGCAAUCAGUCAAAGCCUGAAGUGUUUCCUGAGCUUUCGCACGAUCAUCCCAGAGAGACCGAUCAGCAGCUGCUGCUUCUAAAGCAGCAAGAUCUUCCUGUAAUUGCUUUAGACCAGCAGCAGCUCUGAUCUCCUGAACACGCUCUAAGACAGUUUCUACAUCCUUCCUUAAAGUAUAGAAAUCUUGCAUCGCCCAUUCACGCGUUUCAGUAUUUGUAACUCCCACCUCAUGUGUUGCAAAAGAAACCGUUGGAGAAGAAGUGAUGCUCUUAUGCAUUGCUCUUAUUCUCCUAAUUGCAGGAAAAAAAGAAUGAGAAGUGAGUAGUGAAAUUCCCCCUCUUCUCCUAU
This 461-nucleotide unclassified non-coding RNA is filed under the name Hevea brasiliensis (rubber tree). The record is from RNAcentral. Lineage: Eukaryota; Viridiplantae; Streptophyta; Magnoliopsida; Malpighiales; Euphorbiaceae.